Molecule: long non-coding RNA, 481 nt
Organism: Leopardus geoffroyi (Geoffroy's cat)
Lineage: Eukaryota; Metazoa; Chordata; Mammalia; Carnivora; Felidae
Exons: 2
Source: RefSeq, a predicted model, not a curated record
AGUGUAGAGGGCCCAAUCUAAAAAUUAUAGGAAACCACUUUCCAUAACUUGUUAUAUAGCCAUUUACUCUAAUAUAUUACUGAUUAGAUUAUAUGUCCCACAAUAUAUAAACCAUGACUUUGUUCUUUUUAUGAUAUUAGGAUUUUGAUUAUGCUCAGGAAGUUGUUCUUUAAUCCGGCACUUUGUCUUGCUUAAAUCACUGUUAUCUGUGAACUAGGCAAAAGCAUUCUCAAUAUAGAUUAUAUAUAAUGAAGAAAACUUUUCAUAAAAAUUACCCACUAGAAACAAGACUGGGGAAGAAUUAAACAUAGUUCCUUUCUAAAGAAGUUGCAAGUUGCGUUUUGAAAUGCUUUCGGGGUGGGGGGCGGGGAUGAAAGCCCACAUGCAGCUUUGGACUGAAGAUCUAUUAAGUCACAAGUAAUUUACUAAGUUUCCAUACAUAACAAAAAGUAAGUGGCAGUAUGAUCUCAUUUUCACCAAG